AUUGAACGCUGGCGGCGUGCUUAACACAUGCAAGUCGUGCGGUAACAGGCGUAGCAAUACGUGCUGACGAGCGGCGAACGGGUGCGUAAUACAUGGGAAUCUGCCCUUUAGUGGGGAAUAACCCGGCGAAAGCCGGGCUAAUGCCGCAUAAGAUCUUCGGAUGAAAGCGGGGGAGUCGUAAGACCUCGCGCUGAUGGAUGAGCCCAUGUCGGAUUAGCUAGNGGUGAGGUAACGGCUCACCAAGGCGACGAUCCGUAGCUGGUCUGAGAGGACGGCCAGCCACACUGGGACUGAGACACGGCCCAGACUCCUACGGGAGGCAGCAGUGGGAAUAUUGGACAAUGGGCGAAAGCCUGAUCCAGCGACGCCGCGUGUGUGAAGAAGGCCUGC
Molecule: ribosomal RNA, 390 nt
Filed under: uncultured bacterium
Lineage: Bacteria
Description: bacterial SSU rRNA
Rfam family: Bacterial small subunit ribosomal RNA
Source: RNAcentral